This 380-nucleotide ribosomal RNA is filed under the name uncultured cyanobacterium. RNAcentral describes it as "bacterial SSU rRNA". It matches the Rfam family "Bacterial small subunit ribosomal RNA", at positions 376 to 770 of the family's 1533-position model. Lineage: Bacteria; Bacillati; Cyanobacteriota. The record is from RNAcentral.
CGCAAGCCUGACGGAGCAAGACCGCGUGGGGGAGGAAAGCCUUUGGGUUGUAAACCCCUUUUCUCAGGGAAGAAGAAAGUGACGGUACCUGAGGAAUCAGCCUCGGCUAACUCCGUGCCAGCAGCCGCGGUAAUACGGAGGAGGCAAGCGUUAUCCGGAAUGAUUGGGCGUAAAGCGUUCGUAGGUGGCAAUUCAAGUCUGCUGUCAAAGACAGUAGCUCAACUACUGCAAGGCAGUGGAAACUGAAUAGCUAGAGUGCGGUAGGGGCAGAGGGAAUUCCCGGUGUAGCGGUGAAAUGCGUAGAUAUCGAGAGGAACACUCGUGGCGAAAGCGAGCUACUGGACAUUUACUGACGCUGAGGCUCGAAGGCCAGGGGAGCG